GGGGAAUUAGGGUUCGAUUCCGGAGAGGGAGCCUGAGAAACGGCUACCACAUCUAAGGAAGGCAGCAGGCGCGCAAAUUACCCAAUCCUAAUACAGGGAGGUAGUGACAAGAAAUAACAAUACAGGACUUUUUGGUUUUGUAAUUGGAAUGAGUUAAGUAUAAACCCCUUUACAAGUAUCAAUUGGAGGGCAAGUCUGGUGCCAGCAGCCGCGGUAAUUCCAGCUCCAAUAGCGUAUAUUAAAGUUGUUGCAGUUAAAAAGCUCGUAGUUGGAUUUCUGUUAAUAAUUUAUAUAAAAUAUUUUGAUGAAUAUUUAUAUAAUAUUAACAUAAUUCAUAUUACUAUAUAUUUUAGUAUAUGAAAUUUUACUUUGAGAAAAUUAGAGUGCUUAAAGCAGGCAUAUGCCUUGAAUACUCCAGCAUGGAAUAAUAUUAAAGAUUUUUAUCUUUCUUAUUGGUUCUAAGAUAAGAAUAAUGAUAAUA
This 481-nucleotide ribosomal RNA is filed under the name Cryptosporidium parvum. RNAcentral describes it as "SSU rRNA". It matches the Rfam family "Eukaryotic small subunit ribosomal RNA", at positions 364 to 874 of the family's 1831-position model. Lineage: Eukaryota; Apicomplexa; Conoidasida; Eucoccidiorida; Cryptosporidiidae. The record is from RNAcentral.